GUGAGGAAUAUUGGGCAAUGGGCGAAAGCCUGACCCAGCCACGUCGCGUGAGUGAUGAAGGCCUUCGGGUUGUAAAGCUCUGUGGGGAGGGAAGAAAAAGCGGGAGAGUAACUGCUCUCGUGUUGACGGUACCUCCUUAGCAAGCACCGGCUAACUCUGUGCCAGCAGCCGCGGUAAUACAGAGGGUGCAAACGUUGCUCGGAAUUACUGGGCGUAAAGCGCGUGUAGGCUGACAUGCAAGUCGGGUGUGAAAUCCCAGGGCUCAACCUUGGAACUGCACUCGAAACUGCACGUCUUGAGUACUGGAGAGGGAAGCGGAAUUCCGGGUGUAGAGGUGAAAUUCGUAGAUAUCCGGAGGAACACCAGUGGCGAAGGCGGCUUCCUGGACAGUAACUGACGCUGAGACGCGAAAGCGUGGGGAGCAAACAGGAUUAGAAACCCUAGUAGUCC
This 450-nucleotide ribosomal RNA is filed under the name uncultured bacterium. RNAcentral describes it as "partial 16S ribosomal RNA". It matches the Rfam family "Bacterial small subunit ribosomal RNA", at positions 354 to 796 of the family's 1533-position model. The record is from RNAcentral.